Molecule: non-coding RNA, 424 nt
Organism: Pelobates cultripes (western spadefoot toad)
Lineage: Eukaryota; Metazoa; Chordata; Amphibia; Anura; Pelobatidae
Source: the annotation of a GenBank genome assembly
CUGAAUUUGGUGUGUGUAUAGUGGAUGUAGUGUGUGUAUAGUGAAUGCAGAGUGUGUGUUUUGUGUAGUGGAUAUAGUGUGUGUAUAGUGAAUGCAGAUUGUGUGUUUGUGUAGUGGAUGUAAUGUGUAUAUAGUGACUGCAGAGUUUGUAGUGAAUGUAGUGCAUGUAUAGUGAAUGCAGAGUGUAUGUUUGUAUCUGUGUAUUAGAUGUGGUGUGUAUAAUUACUGCUUAUUGUGUGUUUAUGUGUAUUAGAUGCAGUGUGUAUAGUGACUGCAGAAUGUAUGUAGUGAAUGCAGUUUGUGUAUUUGUGUAGUGGGUGAUGUUUGUAUAUUGAAUGCAGUGUGUGUGUGUAGUAAAUGCAGUUUGUGUGUUUGUGUAGUGAACACAGUGUGUGUUUGUGUAGUGAAUGCAGUUUGUGUGUUU